RNAcentral lists this ribosomal RNA (592 nucleotides) under Steinernema feltiae. RNAcentral's name for it is "partial large subunit ribosomal RNA". The record is from RNAcentral. Lineage: Eukaryota; Metazoa; Nematoda; Chromadorea; Rhabditida; Steinernematidae.
GGGAAAGUUGCAAAGUACUUUGAAGAGAGAGUUCAAGAGGACGUGAAACCGAUAGGAUGGAAGCAGAUGAAGUUGACGAACGUGUGUCGUAUUCAAAAUCGCUGUCAGCGGUUUGUUUUUACGGCCGAUGUGGGCCGGCGGCUUUGGUCAAUGCAACGCGUCUAGCGUCGAUGGUGACCCUGCGGAGGGACAAUCGGUCGACGUACGGUGCUUGGUAUGGCUAAGGUUUCGCCGGUCUUAAAGUCAGCGCCUCAKCUGACCCGUCUUGAAACACGGACCAAGGAGUGUAGCGUUUGCGCAAGUCUUAGAGUGUAUCGAAACUUUGAGGCGUAACGAAAGUAAAUGCAGUUUAAUCUGCUGACUUGGGAUGCGUUGUCUCUUGUGGACGGCGCUGGACCAAGGUUUUAUCGCGAUCGCUUGCGGUGCGGUGAAAAUAGAGCGUAAACGGUGCGACCCGAAAGAUGGUGAACUAUGCCUGAGCAGGAUGAAGCCGGAGGAAACUCUGGUGGAAGUCCGAAGCGGUUCUGACGUGCAAAUCGAUCGUCUGACUUGGGUAUAGGGGCGAAAGACUAAUCGAACCAUCUUGUAGCUU